GACGAACGCUGGCGGCGUGCCUAAUACAUGCAAGUUGAGCGCUGAAGGAUGGUACUUGUACCAACUGGAUGAGCAGCGAACGGGUGAGUAACGCGUGGGGAAUCUGCCUUUGAGCGGGGGACAACAUUUGGAAACGAAUGCUAAUACCGCAUAAAAACUUCAAACACAAGUUUUAAGUUUGAAAGAUGCAAUUGCAUCACUCAAAGAUGAUCCCGCGUUGUAUUAGCUAGCUGGUGAGGUAAAGGCUCACCAAGGCGAUGAUACAUAGCCGACCUGAGAGGGUGGUCGGCCACAUUGGGACUUAGACACGGCCCAAACUCCUACGGGAGGCAGCAGUAGGGAAUCUUCGGCAAUUGACGAAAGUCUGACCGAGCAACGCCGCGUGAGUGAAGAAGGUUUUCGGAUCGUAAAACUCUGUUGGUAGAGAAGAACGUUGGUGAGAGUGGAAAGCUCAUCAAGUGACGGUAACUACCCAGAAAGGGACGGCUAACUACGUG
Molecule: ribosomal RNA, 497 nt
Filed under: uncultured bacterium
Lineage: Bacteria
Description: partial 16S ribosomal RNA
Rfam family: Bacterial small subunit ribosomal RNA
Source: RNAcentral